UACAGAGGUCUCAAGCGUUGUUCGGAUUCAUUGGGCGUAAAGGGUGCGUAGGCGGCGCGGUAAGUCGGGUGUGAAAUCUCGGAGCUUAACUCCGAAACUGCAUUCGAUACUGCCGUGCUUGAGGACUGGAGAGGAGACUGGAAUUUACGGUGUAGCGGUGAAAUGCGUAGAUAUCUGGAGGAACACCGGUGGCGAAGGCGGCAUCCUGGACCAAUUCUGACGCUGAGGAGCGAAAGCCAGGGGAGCAAACGGG
RNAcentral lists this ribosomal RNA (253 nucleotides) under uncultured bacterium. RNAcentral's name for it is "partial 16S ribosomal RNA". It matches the Rfam family "Bacterial small subunit ribosomal RNA", at positions 524 to 776 of the family's 1533-position model. The record is from RNAcentral.